This 455-nucleotide ribosomal RNA is filed under the name uncultured bacterium. RNAcentral describes it as "bacterial SSU rRNA". It matches the Rfam family "Bacterial small subunit ribosomal RNA", at positions 340 to 786 of the family's 1533-position model. The record is from RNAcentral.
UACGGAAGGCAGCAGGGGGGAAUAUUGCACAAUGGGCGCAAGCCUGAUGCAGCCAUGCCGCGUGUAUGAAAAAGGCCUUCGGGUUGUAAAGUACUUUCAGUCGUGAGGAAGGUGUUAAGGUUAAUAACCUUAGCAAUUGACGUUAGCGACAGAAGAAGCACCGGCUAACUCCGUGCCAGCAGCCGCGGUAAUACGGAGGGUGCGAGCGUUAAUCGGAAUUACUGGGCGUAAAGGGCACGCAGGCGGUUAAUUAAGUUGGAUGUGAAAUCCCCGGGCUUAACCUGGGAAUGGCAUUCAAGACUGGUUAGCUAGAGUCUUGUAGAGGGGGUAGAAUUCCAUGUGUAGCGGUGAAAUGCGUAGAGAUGUGGAGGAAUACCGGUGGCGAAGGCGGCCCCUGGACAAAGACUGACGCUCAUGUGCGAAAGCGUGGGGAGCGAAACAGGGAUUUAGAUACC